GAAGGCCUGGCCUUCUUUGAGUCAGAAGGAAACGAGGAAAAUAGAUCCCCACCCCUUUUUAGUCCCGACGACCGAGGGGAGACCUCCGGCGACGCAACAGCGAACGAUUCAGGUGGUGUCAGACGCGCGUGAGGCCUGCGAUUGGUGGUGUAUGCUGUGGCCAUUUGGUGAAGAGUGGCGGCAGACAAAGUAGGGGUUAGGGUUGCUGAAACAUUUUGGGUAGUUGGGCUAUUAGGGUUAGUUUAGAUAAUGGGCUAACAGGAUUUUGAUUUGGGCUUGUUUAAUAAUUGGGUUAUUUGUAAAUUGACUGUUUAUAUUUUUUUGAACUCUUUUUAUUAUUUUGGGUCUAUUAACUUGGGCCAAAAUUGGCCAUUACAAUCAAUAUUUCUUCAGCCAUUGCUUCACAUUGCUGAAAUUGUAUUGGUCGGCGACAUCAUAAAUUAUCUACCAGAUCUUCUCCUUGCAUUCAAUGACAAAAAGGCUGAAGCUCUGUUAACAGCAAA
Long non-coding RNA from Gossypium arboreum, 503 nucleotides. RefSeq lists it as uncharacterized. NCBI's taxonomy places the organism in Eukaryota, Viridiplantae, Streptophyta, Magnoliopsida, Malvales, Malvaceae. The transcript is spliced from 2 exons. The record is from RefSeq and is a predicted model, not a curated record.